UACGUAGGGUGCAAGCGUUAAUCGGAAUUACUGGGCGUAGAGCGUGCGCAGGCGGUUGUGCAAGACCGAUGUGAAAUCCCCGGGCUUAACCUGGGAAUGGCAUUGGUGACUGCACGGCUAGAGUGUGUCAGAGGGGGGUAGAAUUCCACGUGUAGUAGCGAAAUGCGUAGAGAUGUGGAGGAAUACCGAUGGCGAAGGCAGCCCCCUGGGAUAACACUGACGCUCAUGCACGAAAGCGUGGGGAGCAAACAGG
Molecule: ribosomal RNA, 253 nt
Filed under: uncultured bacterium
Lineage: Bacteria
Description: partial 16S ribosomal RNA
Rfam family: Bacterial small subunit ribosomal RNA
Source: RNAcentral